AGAGUUUGAUUCUGGCUCAGGAUGAACGCUGGCGGCGUGCUUAACACAUGCAAGUCGAACGGAGUUUUAACGGAAGUUUCGGAUGGAAGUUUAAGAACUUAGUGGCGGACGGGUGAGUAACGCGUGGGUAACCUGCCUCAUACAGGGGGAUAACAGUUAGAAAUGACUGCUAAGACCGCAUAAUAUAGCGAAACCGCAUGAUUUUGCUAUCAAAUAUUUAUAGGUAUGAGAUGGGCCCGCGUCUGAUUAGCUAGUUGGUGGGGUAAAAGCCUACCAAGGCGACGAUCAGUAGCCGGCUUGAGAGAGUGACCGGCCACAUUGGGACUGAGACACGGCCCAAACUCCUACGGGAGGCAGCAGUGGGGAAUAUUGGACAAUGGGGGAAACCCUGAUCCAGCGAACCGCCGCGUGAGUGAAGAAGUAUUUCGGUAUGUAAAGCUCUAUCAGCAGGGAAGAUAAUGACAGUACCUGACUAAGAAGCCCCGGCUAACUACGUGCCAGCAGCCGC
This 508-nucleotide ribosomal RNA is filed under the name uncultured bacterium. RNAcentral describes it as "bacterial SSU rRNA". It matches the Rfam family "Bacterial small subunit ribosomal RNA", at positions 8 to 518 of the family's 1533-position model. The record is from RNAcentral.